GAAGAAGUAUUUCGGUAUGUAAAGCUCUAUCAGCAGGGAAGAAAAUGACGGUACUUGAAUAAGAAGCCCCGGCUAACUACGUGCCAGCAGCCGCGGUAAUACGUAGGGGGCAAGCGUUAUCCGGAUUUACUGGGUGUAAAGGGAGCGUAGACGGCGCUGCAAGUCUGAAGUGAAAGCCCGGGGCUCAACCCCGGGACUGCUUUGGAAACUGUAAUGCUAGAGUGCUGGAGAGGUAAGUGGAAUUCCUAGUGUAGCGGUGAAAUGCGUAGAUAUUAGGAGGAACACCAGUGGCGAAGGCGGCUUACUGGACAGUAACUGACGUUGAGGCUCGAAAGCGUGGGGAGCAAAACAGGAUUAGAUACCCUGGUAGUCCACGCGGUAAACGAUGAAUGGUUAGGUGUUGGGGAGCAAAGCUCUUCGGUGCCCGUCGCAAACGCAAUAAGCAUUCCACCUGGGGAGUACGUUCGCAAGAAUGAAACUCAAAGGAAUUGACGGGGACCCGCACAAGCGGUGGAGCAUGUGGUUUAAUUCGAAGCAACGCGAAGAACCUUACCAAGUCUUGACAUCCUUCUGACCGGCGCGUAACGGCGCCUUCUCUUCGGAGCAGGAGUGACAGGUGGUGCAUGGUUGUCGUCAGCUCGUGUCGUGAGAUGUUGGGUUAAGUCCCGCAACGAGCGCAACCCUUAUCCUUAGUAGCCAGCAGUAAGAUGGGCACUCUAGGGAGACUGCCAGGGAUAACCUGGAGGAAGGUGGGGAUGACGUCAAAUCAUCAUGCCCCUUAUGAUUUGGGCUACACACGUGCUACAAUGGCGUAAACAAAGGGAAGCGAAGCCGCGAGGUGAAGCAAAUCCCAAAAAUAACGUCCCAGUUCGGAUUGUAGGCUGCAACUCGCCUGCAUGAAGCUGGAAUCGCUAGUAAUCGCGAAUCAGAAUGUCGCGGUGAAUACGUUCCCGGGUCUUGCACACACCCCCCGUC
This 975-nucleotide ribosomal RNA is filed under the name uncultured bacterium. RNAcentral's name for it is "bacterial SSU rRNA". It matches the Rfam family "Bacterial small subunit ribosomal RNA", at positions 407 to 1398 of the family's 1533-position model. The record is from RNAcentral.